GACGUAGGGCGCGAGCGUUGUCCGGAUUUAUUGGGCGUAAAGAGCUCGUAGGCGGCUUGUCGCGUCGAAUGUGAAAUCUUAGGGCUCAACUCUGACAUUGCAUUCGAUACGGGCAGGCUAGAGUUCGGUAGGGGAGACUGGAAUUCCUGGUGUAGCGGUGAAAUGCGCAGAUAUCAGGAGGAACACCGGUGGCGAAGGCGGGUCUCUGGGCCGAUACUGACGCUGAGGAGCGAAAGCGUGGGGAGCGAACAGG
This 253-nucleotide ribosomal RNA is filed under the name uncultured bacterium. Its description in RNAcentral is "partial 16S ribosomal RNA". It matches the Rfam family "Bacterial small subunit ribosomal RNA", at positions 524 to 776 of the family's 1533-position model. The record is from RNAcentral.